Gallus gallus (chicken) is the source of this 1366-nucleotide RNA transcript. It is a transcript of the gene named trypsin I-P1-like, with no coding region annotated. The transcript is spliced from 4 exons. The record is from RefSeq and is a predicted model, not a curated record. Lineage: Eukaryota; Metazoa; Chordata; Aves; Galliformes; Phasianidae.
AGUCUGGGAUCGAGGCUGUGUCAAGAUCAUGAAAUUCUUAGUGUUAGUCGCCUUUGUUGGUGUGGCUGUUGCCUUCCCCAUCAGUGAUGAGGAUGAUGACAAGAUUGUGGGAGGCUACAGCUGUGCAAGGAGUGCCGCACCCUACCAGGUGUCUCUGAAUUCUGGAUGUCACUUCUGUGGAGGCUGUCUCAUCAGCCACACUCAGCUCCUACAUCAACACAGUUCCUCUGCCUACCAGCUGUGUGACCGCUGGAACAACGUGCCUGAUCUCUGGAUGGGGCAACACACUCAGCAGUGGCUCUCUGUAUCCAGAUGUCCUGCAGUGCCUGAAUGCCCCUGUACUCUCCUCAAGCCAGUGCAGCAGUGCUUAUCCUGGAAGAAUUACCAGUAACAUGAUAUGUAUAGGAUACCUGAAUGGAGGAAAAGACUCCUGCCAGGGGGAUUCCGGUGGUCCAGUAGUCUGCAAUGGUCAGCUUCAGGGUAUUGUUUCCUGGGGCUUUGGAUGUGCACAAAAAGGUUAUCCUGGUGUUUACACUAAGGUUUGCAAUUAUGUUUCCUGGAUUAAAACGACUAUGUCUUCCAAUUGAGACACUCAUUUUACGUGACCUGCUUUUCCUCCUCCUCAUUUCCUUCUGCUUUGGAAUUGGAUGUACACACCUUCACAAAAAAUAAACAUUUUCAGGCAGCCCUUCUUUGUGCAGUUCCUCCGGUUACUUCCAUGGGUUAUUACAUGGGGAACACAGACAAGUAAUAUCACUAUCUCUCUCUCUCUCUAUUUAUCUAAUACUUGUAGUGUCUCUCAACUAGAAGAAUCUUGGAACGCUUUCUAGCCUCAACUUCAGAAGUCCUUCAGCCAGUUAUGUACAAGCAUGCUGGAGGAGGAGAUAUUUUCUGUUUAUAAUCAUAUAGUCAAAUGCUACACAUCUACAUAAAACAGCUGAAGGAGCGUGGUGAACUACAGAGGCAACACACUUCUAUUACAGAAAACAGCAGGCAGCAAAUCAAACGCUCCCGAUCACCCCUAACCCACAGUCAUAUGACUGAACAUUUCCUAGUGCAAAAUCACUGAAAGCUCUACCUGGGGAAUGAAGGCAAGUUCUUGCUAGGGCUUGUUCUCUUAAUGUACCAGUACUGUGACCUACCAAGGCUAUUUUACUAAAUUGCUGGGGCUGCUGUCCAUACCAUUUUGCUCAUUGGACAUGCUGGGCUUUCUUAGUUUUCCUGGAACAGUCAAAAGAACAGAGGUGUUCCUGAGCUUUGGUUUUGCAUCCUGUUGUCCCAGUCUGCCCCAAGAGAGUCCAUGAAAAAACUGCCAAAGUUGCCCAGGAGCUGUGCAGUUGUCUCCCGGGGAAAAGAAAAAAAGAAA